This 28-nucleotide small RNA is filed under the name Bombyx mori (domestic silkworm). Its description in RNAcentral is "ovarian small RNA-5451". Lineage: Eukaryota; Metazoa; Arthropoda; Insecta; Lepidoptera; Bombycidae. The record is from RNAcentral.
GGCCGAAGGUUUCGUUUUAGGCGUCGAG